This 4196-nucleotide long non-coding RNA is filed under the name Homo sapiens (human). Its description in RNAcentral is "novel transcript, antisense PRKCZ". The record is from RNAcentral. Lineage: Eukaryota; Metazoa; Chordata; Mammalia; Primates; Hominidae.
GGCCUCCCUCCGCCUCUAGCUGACCACAUUUCUGGGGCCGGUCUCAUUUGCUUACGCUAAAGUGGACCUAUGAGGUCAAAGGGCAUUACAGGCUUUUUGGCAGAUGCAGCUGAAGGACCUCUGGAAGGACUGUGCCAACGCAUGCACCAGCCUGCGUGGUCCCCCAUCCCUGUGGCUGGUGAUCCUGGGGUGACACCCUGAUCCAGACUCUGUCUUUAUCCCGUAACAGAGGAGAGGGCACGUCACUGCCACAGGCGCCUUUCCUCCCAUGCCACAGCAAGAUGCAGACAAGCCACCCUCCCCAGACACACCCACUGCACGCUGCAGCAGGGCCCAGGGAGUUGAAUGUUCAGUCCAGGCCUCACCCCCGUGGUUCAGUGGGAUGCAGGGGGCCACACGGAAAUGCCAGAGGCAGCCUUCAAUAAGCAAAAGUCAAUAAGGCCCCCAAAGGCCUGGAUGCUUCAAGUCCAAGCACUCGGGGAUGGCGGAGGGAAGGUGCCGCCCUCAUCACAGGCUGGGCAUGGCUUCCCAGGGGGGAUGCCAGGGAGAGGCUCCAGAUGUUCGGAGCCUCAGCGUGCCCAAUGCUACUAGGUCAGACCUGGCUUUCACCUCCACAGUCCUUAAGAGCUGGUUCAAGACUGGGGUAUGAAUGAACCUUACCUCCGACCCACUGAGCAGAGCGUACCACGUCCUACCUGAGCCUGCUGCCUGAGCCUCAUGCCCCAAUGAGCAGAGUGUGCCGGGGGCUUGUGGGGGCUCAGGAAGAUGGGUCCUAUCCAAGACUGCCGCCUGAGUCUCACGCUGCAGCCCAGAGCUAGGACGGCACCACGGCCCCUCUUGAAGAACCCAGGGUCACCAAGGUCUGCUUGGACAAUGGGCUGGCUGCCACGCCCCGACCCCGCCCGUGCCCCCCGGGCCUCCCCAGCCCUGCCACUCACCAUAUGCUUCCUGCAGGUCAGCGGGACGAGGCCGUGGCAGCGCUUAUGGACCAGCAGUUUGCAGUUGAUGCACCUGUAGCCUUGCCUCGCGAGGCCCCAUAUCCUCUCGCUGCACUGACCGCAGUACGCUCUCUGCAGGUGGGAACAGAGCGUCAGGCCCAGGCCACACUGAGGGGCCAGCGGAGAGGACAGGCAGGGCCUUCCACACCUAUACCUUCUCAAAAGAGGACACUGAGCCGGGCAACAGGUGGCCCCGGCACCUUGUCCCUUCCGGGCGCCAGGCUUGCCCAAGCUUGAGAGCCUCCUCUUGGGUCUAUCCCAAGGUUGGGGGAACCAGUGGCCCCAAGGAGAGGCCUGGAACCCUGCUCUGCAUGAGGGGACACAGGGGAGGUGCCAUCGGGCAGGGGUGACGAGGUGCUGCUUCAGGCAAGGCCCCGUGGCUUGCAGGGGCUGGGGGGCUGCAGCUCCUGCUGCGCUCUGCGUAGAGCAGCCUGGGGUCCCGUCUAGGGCUAAGCAGAGUGUGUGGGGGUACCCCCUGCCUGACCUUCAUUCAAACAGAACCUCCUCCUGACAGCCUCAGAGAAGGGGAACUCGGACUCAUGAACAUCUUGAACUGCUACAUGGCAGCCUGCAAUUAUCUUAGUAUUCUUUGUUCAGUAUUUUUCAAGAUUUUAAAUGAUCCUUCUUUAUUCUUCAUGGUUCUGAACAAUUCCAAAAUGAUGGUAAUUAUCAGCUUGUUUGGCGAUGUUUUCAUGAACGUUUAAAUGUUACAAAAGGCAUGAGAAUGAAUGUUGUCGGGACCUGCUUGGACAUUUUCUGCCUUGCCUAAGUGCCCAAAGUGUUCCUGGGAGUAAAGGGGUGCAUCUGCACUGUCACCAUGUGCCCAGAGCCUCCAAUUCAGAUUCUUUCCAGACACAGCCCUUUCAUAUGCUUUUCCCUCUUUUACCAUUUUUCACAAAUUUCCUUCCUAUUACAGAGCUCACCUCACACCUGAGUUAAGACGAGGAAAUAUAGGCCGGGCGUGGUGGCUCACGCCUGUAAUCCCAGCACUUGGGGAGGCCGAGGCGGGUGGAUCAGGAGGUCAGGAGAUUGAGACCAUCCUGGCUAACACGGUGAAACCCCGUCUCUACUACAAAAUACAAAAAAUUAGCCAGGUGUGGUGGCGGGCACCUGUAGUCCCAGGUACUCGGGAGGCUGAGGCAGGAGAAUGGCGUGAACCCCGGAGGCGGAGCUUGCAGUGAGCCGAGAUUGCGUCACUGCACUCCAGCCUGGGCGACAGAGUGAGACUCCAUCUCAAAAAAAAAAAAAAAAAAAAAGAAGAGGAAAUACAGUGUACUGUGAACCGCCUGCACUGAAUUCACGUGAGGAAACGGGACUGAAGAGAAAAUACAGCACUGAGUUCACGUGAGGAACCGGGACCCUCAGCACAUGUGGGCAUCAGGUGCGGCUGAGCAAAGGGGGUCCAGACCCUCUACGGGACUCUCCUGCUCAUCAGAAGAGCCUGCUCGGGACGUCAGGGCCCGGGGACCCUCCCCCCGCCCACACAGCCCACUUGUUUGGGUGGGGCCGGAUGACCAGCACCUAGGACAGUGCCCAGCACACAGUGGGCAUCGGGUAAGAAAACACACAUGCAUCAUCGCUUUCAACUUCGUCACAGGAAAAAGGAGCCGACUCCACAUCCUCUGCACAUGCUACCUACAUCAGCCCAGCCAUGACAGAGCCACACCAGGACCGUGGGCUCUAUUCGAAGGAGGGAUGGGUGAGAGGGGGCAUCCCACCCAAGACCUCUGAUUCCGGGCCAAUCUAGCUUAAUGCCGGCAUUGGGAGUUUUGCCCCAGUCGGCACCUGCUGGAUGUGUGGACCCUGGAUUGAAAGGAGGCGCUUCGGCUGCUGGAUGUGUGGACCCUGGAUUGAAAGGAGGCGCUUCGGCUGCUAGAUGCCUGGACCCUGGAUUGAAAGGAGGGCGCUUCGGCUGCUGGAUGUGUGGACCCUGGAUUGAAAGGAGGCGCUUCGGCUGCUGGAUGCCUGGACCCUAGAGUGAAAGGAGGCGCUUCGGCUGCUGGAUGUGUGGACCCUGGAUUGAAAGGAGGCGCUUCGGCUGCUGGAUGUGUGGACCCUGGAGUGAAAGGAGGCGCUUCGGCUGCUGGAUGUGUGGACCCUGGAGUGAAAGGAGGCGCUUCGGCUGCUGGAUGUGUGGACCCUGGAGAGAAAGGAGGCGCUUCGGCUGUUGGAUGUGUGGACCCUGGAGUGAAAGGAGGCGCUUCGGCUGCUGGAUGUGUGGACCCUGGAUUGAAAGGAGGCGCUUCGGCUGCUGGAUGUGUGGACCCUGGAGUGAAAAGAGGCGCUUCGGCUGCUGGAUGUGUGGACCCUGGAGUGAAAGGAGGCGCUUCGGCUGCUGGAUGUGUGGACCCUGGAGUGAAAGGAGGCGCUUCGGCUGCUGGAUGCCUGGACCCUGGAGUGAAAGGAGGCACUUUGGCUGUGCAGACCUGCUCCAUUCUCCUCCGCGUCCACAGCGCAGAAGAACACCAGCUUCCAUUUCUAAAACCAUUAUUUAAAAGUCAAGUUCUUUUGGUAUAAUGUGCCUAAUGUGUUUGGCUUUCUCUAGGUCACCAUUUAACAUCUUACUCUGCAACACUACGGUCCUAGUUAAGACCAAAUUCACAGCCACCAGGUAUCUUUACAAAUUAACCAAGAUUGGCCAGGCGCAGUGGCUCAUGCCUGUAAUCCCAGCACUUUGGGAGGCCAAGGCGGGCGGAUCACUUGCGGUCAGGAGUUCGAGAUCAGCCUGACCAACAUGGAGAAACCCCAUCUCCACUAAAAGUACAAAAAUUAGCUGGGCGUGGUGGCGCACAUCUGUAAUCCCAGCUACUCGGGAGGCUGAAGCAGGAGAAUCACUUGAACCCAGGAGGCAGAGGUUGCAGUGAGUCAAGAUCACGCCACUGCACUCCAGCCUGGGCAACAGAGUGAGACUGUGUCUCAAAAAAAAAAAAAAAAAAGAAAAAGAAAAACAAACAAACAAACAAAAAACAAAUUGACCAAGGUUCCUUUCCGUGGGGAGCCACCCUUACCUGGGGUCAGGCCAGGACAUCUGCUGACAAGGGCAGUGUGAAUCUGCCAAGGGUUGGCACCCACCACAGAGACCUCACGUGUGUGCUUUGUAAGUGAGGCUGCCCAAGCUCUGUCAAAAGCUCUUGUUUCAAAUCUAUAUUUGAAUAGUAACAUUUCAGGAAAUGUGACAUUAAAAAAAUAAAACCUAAA